GACGAACGCUGGCGGCGUGCUUAACACAUGCAAGUCGAACGGAAAGGCCCUGCUUUUGUGGGGUGCUCGAGUGGCGAACGGGUGAGUAACACGUGAGUAACCUGCCCUUGACUUUGGGAUAACUUCAGGAAACUGGGGCUAAUACCGGAUAGGAGCUCCUGCUGCAUGGUGGGGGUUGGAAAGUUUCGGCGGUUGGGGAUGGACUCGCGGCUUAUCAGCUUGUUGGUGGGGUAGUGGCUUACCAAGGCUUUGACGGGUAGCCGGCCUGGGAGGGUGACCGGCCACAUUGGGACUGGGAUAAGGCACAGACUCCUACGGGAGGCAGCGGUGGGGAAUAUUGCACAAUGGGCGGAAGCCUGAUGCAGCAACGCCGCGUGCGGGAUGACGGCCUUCGGGUUGUAAACCGCUUUCGCCUGUGACGAAGCGUGAGUGACGGUAAUGGGUAAAGAAGCACCGGCUAACUACGUG
Molecule: ribosomal RNA, 468 nt
Filed under: uncultured bacterium
Lineage: Bacteria
Description: partial 16S ribosomal RNA
Rfam family: Bacterial small subunit ribosomal RNA
Source: RNAcentral